This 443-nucleotide ribosomal RNA is filed under the name uncultured bacterium. RNAcentral describes it as "partial 16S ribosomal RNA". It matches the Rfam family "Bacterial small subunit ribosomal RNA", at positions 338 to 795 of the family's 1533-position model. The record is from RNAcentral.
CCUACGGGUGGCUGCAGUCGGGAAUCUUUGGCAAUGGGCGCAACCCUGAUCCAGCAACGCCGCGUGAAGGAAGAAGGCUUUCGGGUUGUAAACUUCUUUUCUCAGGGACGAAGCAAGUGACGGUACCUGAGGAAUAAGCCACGGCUAACUACGUUCUAGCAGCCGCGGUGAUACGUAGGUGGCAAGCGUUAUCCGGAUGUACUGGGUGUAAAGGGCGUGGAGGCGGGGAUGUAAGGCCGCUGUGAAAACCACGGGCUCAACCUGUGGCCUGCAUUUGAGACUGUGUUACUUGAGUAAUGGAGAGGGAGACGGAAUUCCUAGUGUAGCGGUGAAAUGCGUAGAUAUCGGGAGGAACACUAGUGGCGAAGGCGGGCUUCUGGACAGCAACUGACGCUGAGGCGCGAAAGCGUGGGGAGCGAACGGGAUUAGAUACCCGAGUAGUC